GGAAGGCAGCAGGCGCGCAAAUUACCCACUCCCAGAACGGGGAGGUAGUGACGAAAAAUAACAAUACGGGACUCUUUUGAGACCCCGUAAUUGGAAUGAGUACACUCUAAAUCCUUUAACGAGGAUCCAUUGGAGAGCAAGUCUGGUGCCAGCAGUCGCGGUAAUUCCAGCUCCAAUAGCGUAUAUUAAAGUUGUUGCGGUUAAAAAGCUCGUAGUUGGAUCUCAGCUCCGGCCGGACGGUCCGCCUACCGGUGGUUACUGUUCGUCGCCGAGCGUUCAGGCGGUUAUUCUUGAUGAUCUUCACCGGUUGUCUCGGGUGACCGCCAAGUUUACUUUGAAAAAAUUAGAGUGCUCAAAGCAGGCGUGACGCCUGAAUAAUUGUGCAUGGAAUAAUGGAAUAGGACCUCGGUUCUAUUUUGUUGGUUUUCGGAACACGAGGUAAUGAUUAAGAGGGACAGACGGGGGCAUUCGUAUUGCGACGCUAGAGGUGAAAUUCUUGGACCGUCGCAAGACGAACUACUGCGAAAGCAUUUGCCAAGAAUGUUUCCAUUAAUCAAGAACGAAAGUUAGAGGUUCGAAGGCGAUCAGAUACCGCCCUAGUUCUAACCAUAAACGAUGCCAGCCAGCGAUCCGGCUGUGUUCCUCAAAAUGACAACGCCGGGCAGCUUCCGGGAAACCAAAGCUUUUGGGUUCC
This 694-nucleotide ribosomal RNA is filed under the name Araneus diadematus (European garden spider). RNAcentral's name for it is "SSU rRNA". It matches the Rfam family "Eukaryotic small subunit ribosomal RNA", at positions 420 to 1115 of the family's 1831-position model. Lineage: Eukaryota; Metazoa; Arthropoda; Arachnida; Araneae; Araneidae. The record is from RNAcentral.